GUCCAGACUCCUACGGGAGGCAGCAGUGGGGAAUAUUGCACAAUGGGGGGAACCCUGAUGCAGCGACGCCGCGUGGGCGAGGAAGUAUUUCGGUAUGUAAAGCCCUAUCGGCAGGGAAGAAGAAAUGACGGUACCUGAAUAAGAAGCACCGGCUAAAUACGUGCCAGCAGCCGCGGUAAUACGUAUGGUGCAAGCGUUAUCCGGAUUUACUGGGCGUAAAGGGAGCGUAGACGGCUGCGCAAGUCUGAAGUGAAAGCCCGGGGCUCAACCCCGGGACUGCUUUGGAAACUGUGUAGCUAGAGUGCUGGAGAGGCAAGCGGAAUUCCUAGUGUAGCGGUGAAAUGCGUAGAUAUUAGGAAGAACCCCAGUGGCGGAGGCGGCUUGCUGGACAUUAACUGACGGUGAGGCUCGAAAGCGUGGGGAGCAAACAGGA
Molecule: ribosomal RNA, 433 nt
Filed under: uncultured bacterium
Lineage: Bacteria
Description: partial 16S ribosomal RNA
Rfam family: Bacterial small subunit ribosomal RNA
Source: RNAcentral